CAACUCUGCUUUGCAAUGACUUCACAGCAAGGUUACCAAGAAGCAGAUGGGCUGUGAAGGAGACAAACCCCCUUGUCUAAACACAAAUAGCAUUGAUAAUUAAUUAGCUGAAGCAGCAGGGGAAAUUAUGAAAAUGUGUGAAAGGGCUCUAAUAACAAACCUACAGUCACACACAGACUGGGUGACUUCCUCACAGUUCCACAGGAUACAAGUCGAAGACAAAGGUCUGGUUCCUUCUGGGGCCUCUCUCCUGGACUUGCGGCCGGUUACCUUCUCCCUGUGUCUUCACAUGGUUUUCCCUUUGGGCAUACAUGUUCUUGGUGUUUCCUUGUGUGUCCUAACUUCCUUUUCUUAGGAGGAUACCAGUCAGAUUGGAUUAGGACCCCCCUAACAGCCUCCUUUCCACUUAGUCGCCUCUCAUGACAGUCAUGUUCUGAAGUACCUGGAGUUAAGACUUCAAUGUAG
This 465-nucleotide long non-coding RNA is filed under the name Mustela putorius furo (domestic ferret). RNAcentral describes it as "lncRNA (ENSMPUG00000028463.1)". The stretch from base 1 to 63 matches the Rfam family "Non-coding RNA BC040587", at positions 90 to 152 of the family's 152-position model. The record is from RNAcentral. Lineage: Eukaryota; Metazoa; Chordata; Mammalia; Carnivora; Mustelidae.